RNAcentral lists this transfer RNA (68 nucleotides) under Marmota monax (woodchuck). Its description in RNAcentral is "tRNA.Ala". The record is from RNAcentral. Lineage: Eukaryota; Metazoa; Chordata; Mammalia; Rodentia; Sciuridae.
GUUGUAGCUCAGUGGUUGAACAUUUGCCUCGCAUGCAUGGGGCACUGGGUUCGAUCCUCAGCACUACA